RNAcentral lists this long non-coding RNA (3091 nucleotides) under Phaseolus vulgaris (common bean). Its description in RNAcentral is "long non-coding RNA (PVUL_LNC005107)". The record is from RNAcentral. Lineage: Eukaryota; Viridiplantae; Streptophyta; Magnoliopsida; Fabales; Fabaceae.
CCAUUCAGUGCAUAUACUCUUGUUUUUUCCUAUUCAUAGCAUUUUCUUUACUGACUCCUCAGUGCUGCAAAAAUAAGUACGAGGGUCAUGUAUAUUUCCUAAAUUAAAUAUUUGAUGACCUAUUUAUUGAUUAAAUCUAUUUUGCAAAGGUAAGAUUAUUUCUCAGUAAAUCUAUAACUUUAAGUAGCUUAAACCAACACUUCCCUAGUGAUAUUAUGUACUAAAAUACCAGUAUAUAACUGCAACCCACAAAUAUAAUGAACAUGCAAAUACCAGUUUACCUAAGAAUAAUCAACCUAUCUCAAAUGCUAUAGAAAAACUAAGAUAAGUUAGAGCAGAAGUUCACCUCUGAAAUGGCUAUAGUGGACCACCAAUUGAAGAAGCAAUGUUGAUAUAUUUCGCAGGAAAUUAUUUGUCAUACCAUUCACUUCAAUAACAUACCCUUUAUAAACAGGGACAAUUUCCUGAAAACAGAACCAAAAAUUAAAAACAAAAACUGAAAAUAGAAAUAGAAACAUCAAUUAAAAACAGAAAACAGAACCAAGUGCUCAAGGAAAAGGUGAGAAGGAGAAUAAAAAGGCGUGGAUCAUUGUAGGGUCUGUUGUGGGGGGACUAGUAUUGCUUGUGUUGUUCUCACUUCUUGUUUUGUGGAUGAGAAAGUACAAACAGAAGAAGAAAAUGCAGCAGAUGGAAAGGACGACCGAGUUGGGAGAACCUCUUUAAAUGGCUUCAAUUGGUUAUGUUUUAUAGAUCUUCAUCUUGAAAGAUCAGAAAUAUCCAACAAGGCUUCGAACGAACCGAGCCACCGAAUCAUGGUAUUGGGAAACCACAUGAAAAAGGUAAGGAGAUAUUUGGUGGUGGAGUUUUGAUAGGGAUGAAGAAAAGUUUGGUGUUUUACAUGGGUAGAGCUCCCUGGGGUGAGAAAAAUAACUGGGUCAUGCACUGCAAAACAAGCAACCAUAUAGAUCUUCUAAGGUUAGUAAAUCAAUGCAUCAUGCAUUCACCACAGCUAGUUUCCUUNNNNNNNNNNNNNNNNNNNNNNNNNNNNNNNNNNNNNNNNNNNNNNNNNNNNNNNNNNNNNNNNNNNNNNNNNNNNNNNNNNNNNNNNNNNNNNNNNNNNAUCAUAUUUAUUUUAUAAAUACAGGCAAAAUGUCAACAAACAUGAAUUAUUAAAAAUAUUUAAGAGUGAUAAAAGAAUGUUUCAUUGAUAAUCAAAAUAUUAAAUUAUAGGUGUUGAAAUUUUUUAAUAAUUUAAUUAGUACGUAUCAGUUUACCCAUAAUGCUCAAAUAUCUUAUUGUACUGGAUAGAGAAAAAUAAUUAUUAAUUAAAUUCUUUUUUAAGGAUAUUAAUUAAAAAGUUAGGAAAACUAUAUUCCUUUUUCUUUAAAUAAGUAAAUAAAGAAGAAAUCGUUUUGCGAGUAAUUCAUAAGCCAUAUAUUACAAAAAAAAAAACACAAACAUAUUUAUAUACAGCUAUUUAAAAUAAAAGUACAUUUAGUUAUUAAAAAAAAUAAACACUCUAAAAUUUAUUAUGUACAUUAGAUUUGAUACCUAUCAAGAGUAUACCGUUUUCUUGGAAUAUUAGGGAAAAGCAUUUAAAUUUGGUAUUUACACUUUUAAAUAUAUGUCUUGGCAACUUUGUAUUACAAGUCAACUACUCAAUCUCUAUAUAAUAAAAAACCAAACCAAAUAAAGAAGAAAAAUGCUUGUAGCUGCACAGAUGAAAUAAAAUGACUUGCGAAAGAAGGUAUCACAUUAAUAGUUCAACACCACCAACACCUAACCUAGUUUGAGUCAUUGAAAAAUCAGUAAGUUUUGUCUACUUGUAAGAAUGUGUAUCAUUUUUUAACAUAUUAUUUAACUCCAUAGUUAUAACGUUAUGUGUAUGCGUCAACAUCAAAAUUGUGUUCCAUGUUUGAAAAGAAAAGGAACAAAACAUAGGUCUUCUAGAUAGUGGUUGGGUUGUGAGCCAUAAGGCCUCGGUGCAGAGAUUUUCAGAAACAUGCAGCUAAGAGAAAACAACAACCUGUUGUUGCCAUACAUUUUCCAUACAGACAUCAGUGUACACAUACACCACAUUCAACAUUCUUAUCUAAAAUUAGUAUACUUGCUGACAGAUAAGGCUUACAACAUAAUUAACAAAAGAACAAUAUUUGAAAUUAGUUCUGAAUGAACCAACUGAAUCCAGUACUAGGAUGUGUAAACUUACUUGCAACAAAUAAUCUUAUCUUGGUUACACUUCUGGCCAAUAUCAAAGAUGGCUUAAUAAUACCACCACGAAGCCUUAAAACAAGAUGCAAUGUUGACUCUGUAAAAUAGAGAAAUCAACCCAAUGAUAAGUCUCACACUUUACAUUAAAGUCAUUGAGCAUAAUUAACAAUACCUGGGGUCUGCUGUUUCUCAGCCAAGCAGCACGAAAGUACUUGGAGUCGGACAAAAUAAAUCGGACAAAAUAAAGUAAAAAGUGCCUAAUUUUGAAUUUCAUAAAGAUUGUUAGGUUAAUUCUUAUCAAUUUAAAAACUACAGAUUUCCACCUCAAACCCCUACACUCUUUCCAUUCAUACACAUAUAUGACUAGCUACAAUUCCUAAAAUUCAUAUAAAAAAACAAAAUCAAUCAAUCACUGCAUUCAAACCAGUAGAGGAAUUAACAUCAAAUCGAAAUGAAUCCGAACCACUUCAAGUCGAACUGAAUCCGGUGCAAAGCAAAUUCUAAUUCAAAGGUUGUGAAUGGAGAUUUUGAAGAAAUCGAUUAUGAACUAGAGCAAACAGUGAGACAGAAAAAUCGAACGUUGUGAAGGAGUGUUUGAAGAAACGAACCUGAGCAAGGGCUUAUCAUACGGAGGAAGUUGUGAAAAAUCGUUGGCCGCAAAUGGAGUUUGAGCAUGGUGGAGCGUGAGAGUGCAUUUGGAAUCGAGGGUUGAGUUUUGUGUAGCUUGGGGAAGUUAGUAGAAUGUGUAAGUAUAGUCUGUUAUUUGAAAUAUCCAUGUUUAAAACAAUGUUUCUUAAAGCAACGCUUUUCCUGUAAGUUUCAAUUCAAAGGUAAAAAUCAUUGCUUACUCUUCUUUUAAGAUUUUAGGCAACGCUUUUUU